Molecule: ribosomal RNA, 119 nt
Filed under: Aegilops tauschii subsp. strangulata
Lineage: Eukaryota; Viridiplantae; Streptophyta; Magnoliopsida; Poales; Poaceae
Source: RNAcentral
GGAUGCGAUCAUACCAGCACUAAAGCACCGGAUCCCAUCAGAACUCCGAAGUUAAGCGUGCUUCGGCGAGAGUAGUACUAGGUUGGGUGACCUCCUGGGAAGUCCUCGUGUUGCAUUCG